Molecule: ribosomal RNA, 490 nt
Filed under: uncultured bacterium
Lineage: Bacteria
Description: partial 16S ribosomal RNA
Rfam family: Bacterial small subunit ribosomal RNA
Source: RNAcentral
GAUGAACGCUAGCUACAGGCUUAACACAUGCAAGUCGCAGGGUAACAUGAGGAAAGCUUGCUUUCCUUGAUGACGACUGGCGCACGGGUGAGUAACGCGUAUCCAACCUUCCCAUAACUACGGGAUAACCCGUUGAAAGACGGCCUAAUACCGUAUGACAUCGUUUGCUGACAUCAAAUAACGAUUAAAGGUUUAGCGGUUAUGGAUGGGGAUGCGUCUGAUUAGCUUGUUGGCGGGGUAACGGCCCACCAAGGCGACGAUCAGUAGGGGUGCUGAGAGGAAGGUCCCCCACAUUGGAACUGAGACACGGUCCAAACUCCUACGGGAGGCAGCAGUGAGGAAUAUUGGUCAAUGGGCGAGAGCCUGAACCAGCCAAGUAGCGUGCAGGAGGACGGCCCUAUGGGUUGUAAACUGCUUUUAUGUGGGGAUAAAGUGCGUGACGUGUCAUGCAUUGCAGGUACCACAUGAAUAAGGACCGGCUAAUUCCGUG